UUCCUACGGGGCGCAGCAGUGGGAAUAUUGCACAAUGGGGGAAACCCUGAUGCAGCGACGCCGCGUGAAGGAUGAAGUAUUUCGGUAUGUAAACUUCUAUCAGCAGGGAAGAAAAUGACGGUACCUGACUAAGAAGCCCCGGCUAACUACGUGCCAGCAGCCGCGGUAAUACGUAGGGGGCAAGCGUUAUCCGGAUUUACUGGGUGUAAAGGGAGCGUAGACGGCAUGGCAAGUCUGAAGUGAAAGCCCGGGGCUCAACCCCGGGACUGCUUUGGAAACUGUAUGGCUGGAGUGCUGGAGAGGCA
This 305-nucleotide ribosomal RNA is filed under the name uncultured bacterium. RNAcentral's name for it is "bacterial SSU rRNA". It matches the Rfam family "Bacterial small subunit ribosomal RNA", at positions 336 to 659 of the family's 1533-position model. The record is from RNAcentral.